This 239-nucleotide ribosomal RNA is filed under the name uncultured bacterium. Its description in RNAcentral is "partial 16S ribosomal RNA". It matches the Rfam family "Bacterial small subunit ribosomal RNA", at positions 92 to 334 of the family's 1533-position model. The record is from RNAcentral.
CGAGUGGCGGACGGGGGAGUAAUGUCUGGGAAACUGCCUGGUGGAGGGGGGUAACUACUGGAAACGGUAGCUAAUACCGCAUAACGUCGCAAGACCAAAGAGGGGGACCUUCGGGCCUCUUGCCAUCGGAUGUGCCCAGAUGGGAUUAGCUAGUAGGUGGGGUAACGGCUCACCUAGGCGACGAUCCCUAGCUGGUCUGAGAGGAUGACCAGCCACACUGGAACUGAGACACGGUCCAG